AUGUGAGACUGGCUUCCGGAUGUUGGAGGAGAGAGGAGCGUGUUCAGCCCAGUCUGGAGUGGCAUGUUCUUCUUGGUUCAGCUGGAAGACACAGGCUUCUGAAGCACACACAACAGUGUAAUGCAUUAUCACCUUCGAAGAUUCAGUGGGUCCCUGAAACUCAAACUUGGAUCAAUGACUCCAGCUGAUAUAUUGUAACAGAGGGAGCAACAGAUAUAUGGAGUAGUAACCAAGUAAAGAAGUGACUACGGAAUCUCAAAGAUGGUCCUGAUCUACCAACGACUCACUGGGGUUACUUGGCUGCUUGAACAGCUUGGAUGAGAUGGGAGGCAUCAGCUCCGUUCCUUCUGGUGAAAUGGAAGAUCACUAAACCUUACUUCUGUAGGUCCUGCCUCUGCCUUCUAAGGUCCUCUAGACUUUAUCAUCUGCCCUGACUCUAUACCACCCCAAUUCCAGCACAGUCUUCUGAUAUACUUUUAGGACCCCUCAGUCUUCUUAUCUUCCCCUUAGAAGUAUUGGCCCUCUCUACCUAACAACCUAAAGCUAAACUUUCUUUUAUGCGUUGUCUUCCCCAAUUAGAGUAUGAGCUUCCUCUGAGCAGAGACUAUCAUGAUUUCCCUUUUCUUAUCCCCAGUGUUUCAUCCAGUACUUGACAAUUUGUAAUUAAUAUAUUCUUUUGAUUAAGUAAGUCAUACCUAUGUGACACUAAGCACGUUACUUAAUCCCUCUAAGUAUUAGGAAUCUCAUUUGGGGAUAACCAUGUCUAUAAGAACCUACCUUACAGAAUUCUUGGGCAACUCAGAUAAAAUAUGUGAAAUCUUAAAGUAAAAAUAUAAAGAUGUUAAAACUAUCAUUGUUCUCAACAAUAUCUACCUUAAUCAUUUAAUGAUUAUUUCAUCAUAUCCAAAGGAACCUCAUAGGAUCAUUGAUUUAGAACUUCAUAACCUAGACCAAAGAACUGAGGCCCAUGAGGUUAAGUGACUUGGUUAUAGUCAAACAGGUAAUAAAUUACAGAAUAGUCACUUGAAUCUAAGUCCUAUGAUUUUCCAAUGCUAAACCUAGUG
Monodelphis domestica (gray short-tailed opossum) is the source of this 1064-nucleotide long non-coding RNA. RefSeq lists it as uncharacterized. The record is from RefSeq and is a predicted model, not a curated record. Lineage: Eukaryota; Metazoa; Chordata; Mammalia; Didelphimorphia; Didelphidae.